This is a non-coding RNA of Caenorhabditis brenneri, 76 nucleotides long. The record is from the annotation of a GenBank genome assembly. Lineage: Eukaryota; Metazoa; Nematoda; Chromadorea; Rhabditida; Rhabditidae.
GUCGCCAUAGCUCAGUUGGUUAGAGCGUGGGUUUGAUUACCACCCAAGGUCGCAGGUUCGAUCCCUGCUGGCGGCA